RNAcentral lists this ribosomal RNA (254 nucleotides) under uncultured bacterium. RNAcentral's name for it is "partial 16S ribosomal RNA". It matches the Rfam family "Bacterial small subunit ribosomal RNA", at positions 524 to 776 of the family's 1533-position model. The record is from RNAcentral.
UACAGAGACCCCAAGCAUUAUCCGGAUUUAUUGGGCGUAAAGCGUUCGUAGGCGGUUUCGUAAGUCAUUUGUUAAAUCUUCAGGCUUAACCUGGAGGCUGCGGGUGAUACUGCGAGGCUAGAGUAUGGGAGAGGUUAGCGGAAUGCCUAGUGUAGCGGUAAAAUGCGUUAAUAUUAGGUAGAACACCAAAUGCGAAAGCAGCUAACUGGAACAUUACUGACGCUCAGUGAACGAAAGCGUGGGUAGCGAAAGGG